AUUGAACGCUGGCGGUAGGCCUAACACAUGCAAGUCGAACGGUAACAGGAAGCAGCUUGCUGCUUCGCUGACGAGUGGCGGACGGGUGAGUAAUGUCUGGGAAACUGCCUGAUGGAGGGGGAUAACUACUGGAAACGGUAGCUAAUACCGCAUAACGUCGCAAGACCAAAGAGGGGGACCUUCGGGGGUCUUGCCAUCGGAUGUGCCCCGAUGGGAUUAGCCUAGUAGGUGGGGUAACGGCUCACCUAGGCGACGAUCCCCUAGCUGGUCUGAGAGGAUGACCACCCCCCACUGGAACUGAGACCCCGUCCAGACUCCCUACGGGAGGCAGCAGUGGGGAAUAUUGCACAAUGGGCGCAAGCCCUGAUGCAGCCAUGCCCGCGUGUAUGAAGAAGGCCUUCGGGUUGUAAAGUACUUUCAGCGGGGAGGAAGGGAGUAAAGUUAAUACCUUUGCUCAUUGACCUUACCCGCAGAACACGCACCCGCCAACUCCC
RNAcentral lists this ribosomal RNA (494 nucleotides) under uncultured bacterium. RNAcentral describes it as "bacterial SSU rRNA". It matches the Rfam family "Bacterial small subunit ribosomal RNA", at positions 30 to 505 of the family's 1533-position model. The record is from RNAcentral.